RNAcentral lists this ribosomal RNA (443 nucleotides) under uncultured bacterium. Its description in RNAcentral is "partial 16S ribosomal RNA". It matches the Rfam family "Bacterial small subunit ribosomal RNA", at positions 338 to 795 of the family's 1533-position model. The record is from RNAcentral.
CCUACGGGUGACUGCAGUGGGGGAUAUUGGACAAUGGGGGGAACCCUGAUCCAGCGACGCCGCGUGAGUGAAGAAGUAUUUCGGUAUGUAAAGCUCUGUCAGCAGGGAAGAAAGAAAUGACGGUACCUGACCAAGAAGCCCCGGCUAACUACGUGCCAGCAGCCGCGGUAAUACGUAGGAGGCAAGCGUUAUCCGGAAUUACUGGGUGUAAAGGGAGCGUAGACGGUUAAGUAAGGCAGGAGUGAAAGGCCGGGGCCCAACCCCGGGACUGCUGUGGAACCUAUUGAACUUGAGUGCAGGAGAGGUAAGCGGAAUUCGUGGUGUAGCGGUGAAAUGCGUAGAUAUUAGGAGGAACACCAAUUGCGAAGGCGGCUUACUGGACUGUAACUGACGUUGAGGCUCGAAAGCGUGGGGAGCAAACAGGAUUAGAUACCCGUGUAGUC